Heterocephalus glaber (naked mole-rat) is the source of this 726-nucleotide long non-coding RNA. The record is from Ensembl. Lineage: Eukaryota; Metazoa; Chordata; Mammalia; Rodentia; Bathyergidae.
GUGGCAGAUUGACAAGCUCUCGCUAUGCCGCUGCCUCUCUGCAUUUCUCUUCCUGGUUGGUGUGAUAAGAGCAGCUUUCCUCUGCCCUGGAUCUUCCAUCACACCACUGACCAUGCAAGCUUCUAAUAUGUGAGCCAAAAUAAACUUCUGGUCCUUUAAGUUGCAGAUGUUCAGUAAUUUGUGCCAGUCACUAAGAGAGUGAUUAACACAGCUGUAUAGACCUGUCACGGUACAUUAACAAAGCUCAGACCUGGCAGCCUGAGAGAAGGAAGACCAUAUUUUCUUAUUUGGUUGAAGAGUAUUGGCAUUAAUCUAUGCCAAGAGUAAACAGAGUAUGGUUUGCAGAUGUUUUGAUAUGGCCUGUCUGAUCACUUGUAUAAUCAAGAAAAAAGGACUACCUUCUAUAACAAAAAAUAUUGAAAAAAAUUCCUGGAUGUACAUGACAGAUGAUGCCCUGAUACUGUGUACCAUAUUUCAGAGCCGAGGAAGCUGUAGAAAAAUAUCUGAAGCUAGCAGAGGUUGGUUCAUGAUGUUUAAGGAAAGAAGCCAUGACGAUGCUGAUCUGGAUUAUUCAUCGAUGAGCUCUAAAUAGCAAGAUUCCUGUUCUCCAAGAACCAGGAACCAUGAAUGUACAAAUCUGUUUUCUUCUUGCUGCAGUUAGUGUGUUUAUACUAUCAAUAUUUCAAUCCUUAAAGAAAUUAAGGUAUUGACUCCAGCCCCCAAAAG